CCCUAGAAAUCGAGUACCCAACCCAAAUACAUCCCCGUUCCAUCCCCACUCCCCUGCCGCCGCCGUCCAUCCCCACCUCCCUGCUGUCGCUCCACCACCUAUGUCCCCGCCGCCGUGCCAUCGCUGCCCUCGUGCUCCAGCGUCACCCUCGUCCUCGCUGCCCUCGUCCUCACGCUUCCCCCACCCCACCGACACAUGUUCCCUACCAUCGCCGGGGUCGCAGCCGCCGAUAGACCGACCCCGAGAUCCGUCCGUCCACCGUCCCCAACCCCAUUCCAUGUCCCCGAGCCCUCGACCCCAUCCCCUCCUUCCUUCCUUGCAGUCACAGCCGCCGAGAGCUCCGUCCGCUGCCGCCUUCACCGACCAGCCCCCACCCCCACCCCCAAGAUGAAGUGAAUGCCGCUUAGGGAUUCUAGCGCCACCGCCAACCACCAUCGGAGACUGCCAUCCGCAAGCGCCAGCAUCGCCAUAACUACCGAAUCACCUCGGGCUGGUGGGAGUGGGCGUUGCUAGGUAAGCACCGAUGGUGGGAUCCCCAAUUUGUUUUCUUUGUUCUUGUUCUUCCAACCGUGACUAGCACCUUGUGUCUCUAGUAGAUCGAACUGCAAGUUUGCUGCAACUUUGGAGUUGUAUUGUUGGUAGUUGCUGUGGAGUAGUUUGGACAUGUUGUUGAUCUGAAGCAUAACCUGAUCCCUUCUCACUUAAUCAGCCCCUUUUUGUUUAAGAAGAGCGUGUAGUAUUACAAAGGUUACUACUUGGAUCUGUAUACCACUGAGAAGCAAAGAAAUCAUACCUUGUUUUAUUUUCUAAUUGUUUUGCCCGAUCGAUGGCUAGCGGGACAUGGUACUUUAGUUCUUGAAUUCUAGGCUUGCAAGUGUCUGAAUUCUAGGUCUGCAUCAGCAUCAUAUGUUAAUCAGAUAUAUGUGUAACCAGCUAUACUGAUGAUAUUGCUAUAAUAAAUAGUAAUUCUGGAGUACCACUUCUUUUUGUAGCUAGCAUGUAGGCUAUAAGCUCUCGUUGAUGCUAUAGAUGGUCAGGUCGGUUUCAAUUUUUUCCGGACAAAAUUAGAUUCCAACCUAGUUUGUAGGAGGUUUGGUAGAUAUACAAGUCACUAUAAAAAAGUCAGUUGCACAGUCAAAUGACUGAAGUGAAAUAUUCUCAUUGGAGAAAUUUGCAACUGUUACCAAAUUGCAAAUGCAGAAUGAGAUAAUUGUAAGCUUAACACUGCAGAAUCAACGUUUUAUAAAUAUUGUUGGAUUAUCAAGUAUGCAGUAGGGGAUAAAUUUUUAACGGCUGCCUAUAAUGUCAACAUUGUCUAGGCAAAUAACAUGUUCUUUUCCGUUAUUUUUUUCCUUGAGAUGGUAAUACGUUUUAAUACGUGGCCUCAAAAUCUGGAAGACGAAAGUCAUUCAUUGAUACAAGUUUGUUUGCUGUGUUCCCUCCCUGUCAUUUAAACCCGCCAUUCGCUGAGUAAUUAUGGAUAAAAUUGUUGAUCUUCUCUUGUACAGUUUGGUUCAAGCACUUGUGUUUAUGGAGAAAAUUUACACUAGCUUGCACCCGUGGUCAAACAUUUAGGUCAAAAAUGCACCUGCUGCAUGGCCUAUUCCUUCAAUUUGUGCAGUAAGAUAAUGUGAUGAAUCAUUCAUUCAUAUAUUCAUAUAUGUGUUCAGAUGCUUCUUUCCAAACAUAUAAAAUGUGUUCAGAUGCAUGUCUUCAGUUCAUGUUUUUCAUUUUUUCUUGGGACAGAAAAGUAGUAUGUAAUGCACGUAUCUCCAGAUGAGAUAGGAGAUAGAUAUAUUUAUGUGUCAGAUACUACUGUCUAACUAUUUGUGGUAAUAAGUAUUGGUGUUAAGUAGAAUCUCCAUUUUUGUUCCCAUCAUAGGACCAUUAAACAGUCCGAUGCGAGCCAUAUAUUUGAUAUUAAGCAAGUUGUCUGUGGAUGUUCAAUACCCACCUAAUUUGAGCUCCCCGUUUCCUUAUGCAGGUAAAUCCUAGAAUUUUCAUCACUUUUUAGUUCUAAUUUUACCACUCUGCUUGAUGCUUGCUUAAAUUGGGUGCCUUCUCAUAAUACCUUUCUUGCUUUGAAGAAUAUAUCAUUUAGCAUGCUUUUCUAAAAACAAGUCACAACACCAUUUAGAAUGCGACAACUGAGAAUGCUGGGUUAUAUUGACAUGUGUAGCUAGACAUUCCCUUGGCAUUCAUGAUAUUUAUAGAUGGAUUCACCCUUCAGAUAUGGCAUCAUUAUUUUCUCUUACUCAUUUCAUUCACUUCAAAAUAUCCGGGCCUUAGUUUCCUUAGUUACCCUCUUGCUGCUUCUGUUGGGUCUAUGAUUCCACAGGUGCCAUAUAAUAAUGUUUGUGAACUAUGGACCUAAUGGGUAUGCUGGUGGUGGUGGUGGCAGGUACCAAAACAACAAGGUUCUUUCCUGAUGUCCUGCUUAUUGGAGGGGGGGGAUGAUGUAGCAUCGAUCACUAGUAGGCCAAGGGUGGUUGAUACAUGUCUUCACAUUUUUCAGAGCAACGUGCAGUGGAAGAAGCAGCCUAUGAACUGACAUAGUUUGCAUAAGAAAUAGGCGAUGUACUCAGCCACCUACUACACAUGGAUGUGAUGACUUCGGAGUGUUCUGCAGCAUUUGGCUGUUUGUAGUAUUUUGGACCAGCCAACUUGUGGUCAUGAAUCUUAUGUCUGUUUUGGACCAUUUGGUGCUUCAAGUGUUUUGGAGCAUAUAUCUUGUGCUCAUGGGUGUGAUAUAAGUGUUUUGGUUCAUUUAAUGUUAGAACUCUUUUAGAACAGCAAAUAGUGGUCCCUUUAUGUGGCUUGUGUUUUCUCGAUGGUGGUCAAAAUGGCCAAACUUUGCUAUGUAAGGACUGUCUUGUUUUUGGACUUCUGAUCAAUAUAUAUAUGUAUGUUUGUGAA
Molecule: long non-coding RNA, 2916 nt
Organism: Triticum urartu
Lineage: Eukaryota; Viridiplantae; Streptophyta; Magnoliopsida; Poales; Poaceae
Source: RefSeq, a predicted model, not a curated record